AGCGAAUCCUAGGCUCUGGCCAGAAUGCUUGGAAAGCAGCGUUUGCUUUACAGGGACCUGGAGCUGCAAGCAGGGCUGAGGAAGAACCGGAAAGCCCAGGCGUGCCUCCUCGGGGCAGCCUUCCUGAGGCUGCGUGAGCCAAACUCCGCCCUUGACUCCGCCCUUGGGCUCUGACGUAGCAUUUACCGGAGCUUCACCUCUCCGUCAGCGCCGGGAAUUCCUCAAGGGCAGCGUUGCCACGCCCCCUUCCUGAGUGCCCUCCUAGGGGUCUUAGAGCCAUCAGCAAGAAGAAGCAAUGGAAGAAUCUGCUGGAAAAAAUCAACCAAGACCAUGAACUCAAUUCGUUUGCACUGUUCCUUAGCUGUUCUGAUUGAUGUUUGGAUUCUGGCCACAUUUAACCAACCAACACAGGUUCUGAACAAUUGGUGAGAGCGUGUGUUUGGAAGGGUUACGUAGAGAGAAAAGGUUAGGAUCUCAAACCAGAGUACCAUCCAGGUGACCAGAGAAAGUCACUCUGCCUUUCUGAGACUUCUCAUCUCUAAGGUGAGAAUAAAAAUCUUUUUCCAGGUAUCAGGGAUGUGGGGUUGUAAGCAGAAUUAUGGGAAAGAAAACUACUCGUAUGGAGGUGCUUCAGGUGCUAGAGUUUACACAUCUUUGUGUUUCACAAAAGGCAGUGUGAAUGAAAAGCAUGAUACAAAUAUGAGGAUUAUUAUAUCCCUUUAAGUUCUUUUCUGCUCAUUGCAUGUAUUUCUGGCUUCCCUAAUAUGUUAAUUCAUUUGAUCAGUAUGUGCUGAGCAUUUACUGUGCGUGUGACCCUGUGCUAGGUGCUAGAGAUGCAGCCGUGUAAACACAGAUAUGUCUCAGUUUUUAUGGAGCUUAUAGUCAUUGGGGGAACUAUCAAAAAACACCUGCACAAAAAUUAAUAUAUAAUUACAAAUGUGGUAAGUCCUAUAAUAGGAAAGAAUGGAGAGAGUUGAGAGAAGAGGGGACUUCUGUGUGGAUAAUUGGGGAGGGGAGGGCAGCUAAGAUCUCUGAGAGUGUAAGGUUUGGCCUGAGACCUAUAGAAUGAAUUAGAUUCAGGGCCCCAGCGAGAGAGGCCCCUGCACAUGAAGCAGUGGGGACCAGGGCUGGGAGGCCAGAAGGGAGUAGCAGGCUCUCUGUUCUGCACCAUCUCCUGCUCCACCACGUCCCCCAAGUUCCCAAACCCAGAGCUGCUAGCGGAGGACGGGGCACAGAGUUGACAUUUUUUAGGGAGAAUAAUGCAGUCAUUAAGGCACUCUACUUGUGGCCUCACAUUCCUCCUUCCAAGCACAAGGUUUGGAUGUCUUUCCAUCCCUGCUGAACUUGGGCCCAAACAAGUGACUACUUUGGCUGGUGGGAUGGGGAGAGUGUGAUGUGGGUCACUUCCUGGCAGAACUCUUAAGAUGGGGGCUUGAUGUGCCACAUUUCCCGGCUCCGGUUCCAGGCUGGAUGUGUUCCCAAGGGAUGGCUCUGCUGGUCUGGGUCCCUGAGGGAGAAGAACCAGAACAGACCCCUGCCUAUCCACAUAGACAUGACACGUGAUCUAGGAAUAAAUGUUUGUCGUGCUCAGCCACUGAAACUUUGUUAUGUAUUUGCUAUGACAGCAUCAUACAAUUUACAAUAUUCUGAUACAAAUUCGGUAUUAUAAUGAUGAGGAGUAAAAUGGACAGUUGUUGAGGGUUUGGGGAAAGCCAAAGAAGGAAGGAGACGGAGCCAGCAUGAAGGCGUGUUACUGAGGUCACUGCUGUAGAGCAGCGAGGGCUCAAGGGUCGAACUGUGAGCCUGCUGACUGCCUUCCAGAAUUUUCUUGCCACAGGAGAGGACUUUGGAGUACUUAUUCACAGGCUCUGUCCUCUGUUGCUUGAAGUUUGGGCCAGAGGUGCCUCCUUUCCCACAGUGCCCCACUGCACCUGCAGGCGGGUCGAUGAGGUCCCUUGACUUUGGAGAAGUUUCUGAAGCAGAAACGGUGGAGACACUUGUCAUGCCCUUGGAGGUAGGACUCUGCCAGUGUGCACAGGACUGCCCAUUGCUUUUGGUGAAAUCAGAUGGCAUCAGAGACAGCCUGAGGGAACAUGACACGAGACACCGAGAGCAUUUGCUAUAGUUCCUGUCUGCUACAUUACCACCCCUCCUCCCGGUUUGUCUUUGGGAAGAGCCUAGGGACAAAGGUCAUACAGCCCUGAGGAUGCAGCUCCACUGCAGACCAUGAAAGCCCAGGAAACUAAGGUAGGUGAAUUCUGAUUCACCUCCUCCAAGAAGCCUUCCAGGAUUCCCUCUGCUAAAGUAUUCUUGCCUUCUUCUGAACUCCCCUCUGGUCUUCUACUGCCCUCAUGUAGAGCUCUCUGUGCUGCCAGUGACUGCCCACGAAUCUCUGUUUCUACAUUAUCUGGAGGCAGGGCUCACUUGAGAUUCAUCUUUGUGGCCUUGUGCCCAGCACAGUGAUGGAACAUUGAGAA
Manis javanica (Malayan pangolin) is the source of this 2477-nucleotide long non-coding RNA. RefSeq lists it as uncharacterized. NCBI's taxonomy places the organism in Eukaryota, Metazoa, Chordata, Mammalia, Pholidota, Manidae. The record is from RefSeq and is a predicted model, not a curated record.